RNAcentral lists this small nucleolar RNA (88 nucleotides) under Cervus hanglu yarkandensis (Yarkand deer). RNAcentral's name for it is "Small nucleolar RNA SNORA70 (ENSCHYG00000012314.1)". It matches the Rfam family "Small nucleolar RNA SNORA70". From Rfam's summary of the family: snoRNA U70 seems to be exclusive to mammals and is a member of the H/ACA class of snoRNA which contain H (ANANNA) and ACA box motifs. Lineage: Eukaryota; Metazoa; Chordata; Mammalia; Artiodactyla; Cervidae. The record is from Rfam by way of RNAcentral.
GAACAGUGACUAAACAUGCAAUGGUUGCAAACAGCAGCCUCCUUGGUAAUGUAGGUGGCCUGUUGCCUAAGGGGUCUUGGAGACAGUC